Molecule: ribosomal RNA, 253 nt
Filed under: uncultured bacterium
Lineage: Bacteria
Description: partial 16S ribosomal RNA
Rfam family: Bacterial small subunit ribosomal RNA
Source: RNAcentral
UACGGAGGGUGCAAGCGUUAAUCGGAAUUACUGGGCGUAAAGCGCACGCAGGCGGUCUGUCACGUCGGAUGUGAAAUCCCCGGGCUCAACCUGGGAACUGCAUUCGAAACUGGCAGGCUAGAGUCUUGUAGAGGGGGGUAGAAUUCCAGGUGUAGCGGUGAAAUGCGUAGAGAUCUGGAGGAAUACCGGUGGCGAAGGCGGCCCCCUGGACAAAGACUGACGCUCAGGUGUGAAAGCGUGGGGAGCAAACAGG